CCUACGGGUGGCAGCAGUGAGGAAUAUUGGUCAAUGGUCGGGAGACUGAACCAGCCAAGCCGCGUGAGGGAUGAAGGUACAGAGUAUCGUAAACCUCUUUUGUCAGGGAACAAAGGCGGGGACGUGUCCCCGGAUGAGUGUACCUGAAGAAAAAGCAUCGGCUAAGUCCGUGCCAGCAGCCGCGGUACUACGGAGGAUGCGAGCGUUAUCCGGAUUGAUUGGGUUUAAAGGGUGCGCAGGCGGUCUGUUAAGUCAGUGGGCAAAGCUCGGGGCUCAACCCCGACCUGCCGUUGAAACUGGCAGGCUCGAGUUGGAGAGAGGUAUGCGGAAUGCGCGGUGUAGCGGUGAAAUGCAUAGAUAUCGCGCAGAACACCGAUUGCGAAGGCAGCAUGCCGGCUCCACACUGACGCUGAGGCACGAAAGCGUGGGUAUCGAACAGGAUUAGAUACCCUAGUAGUC
This 459-nucleotide ribosomal RNA is filed under the name uncultured bacterium. RNAcentral describes it as "partial 16S ribosomal RNA". It matches the Rfam family "Bacterial small subunit ribosomal RNA", at positions 338 to 795 of the family's 1533-position model. The record is from RNAcentral.